UACGUAGGGUGCAAGCGUUGUCCGGAAUUAUUGGGCGUAAAGGGCUCGUAGGCGGUCCAUCGCGUCGGGGAGUGAAAAGCUGGGGCUUAACCCCAGUCCUGCUUCCGAUACGGGUGGACUAGAGGUAUGCAGGGGGAGAACGGAAUUCCUGGUGUAGCGGUGAAAUGCGCAGAUAUCAGGAGGAACACCGGUGGCGAAGGCGGUUCUCUGGGCCUUACCUGACGCUGAGGAGCGAAAGCGUGGGGAGCGAACAGG
This 255-nucleotide ribosomal RNA is filed under the name uncultured bacterium. RNAcentral describes it as "partial 16S ribosomal RNA". It matches the Rfam family "Bacterial small subunit ribosomal RNA", at positions 524 to 776 of the family's 1533-position model. The record is from RNAcentral.